This 450-nucleotide ribosomal RNA is filed under the name uncultured bacterium. RNAcentral's name for it is "partial 16S ribosomal RNA". It matches the Rfam family "Bacterial small subunit ribosomal RNA", at positions 354 to 796 of the family's 1533-position model. The record is from RNAcentral.
GUGGGGAAUCUUCCGCAAUGGACGAAAGUCUGACGGAGCAACGCCGCGUGAGUGAUGAAGGUCUUCGGAUUGUAAAGCUCUGUUAAUCGGGACGAAAGAGCCUAGUGUGAAUAAUGCUAGGAAGUGACGGUACCGGAAUAGAAAGCCACGGCUAACUACGUGCCAGCAGCCGCGGUAAUACGUAGGUGGCAAGCGUUGUCCGGCAUUAUUGGGCGUAAAGCGCGCGCAGGCGGAUCUGCCAGUCUGUCUUAAAAGUUCGGGGCUUAACCCCGUGAUGGGAUGGAAACUACAGAUCUAGAAUAUCGGAGAGGAAAGUGGAAUUCCUAGUGUAGCGGUGAAAGGCGUAGAUAUUAGGAAGAACACCAGUGGCGAAGGCGACUUUCUGGACGAAAACUGACGCUGAGGCGCGAAAGCCAGGGGAGCGAACGGGAUUAGAUACCCCGGUAGUCC